RNAcentral lists this unclassified non-coding RNA (337 nucleotides) under Trechisporales sp. RNAcentral describes it as "partial contains 5.8S ribosomal RNA, internal transcribed spacer 2, and large subunit ribosomal RNA". The stretch from base 1 to 71 matches the Rfam family "5.8S ribosomal RNA", at positions 84 to 154 of the family's 154-position model. Lineage: Eukaryota; Fungi; Basidiomycota; Agaricomycetes; Trechisporales. The record is from RNAcentral.
GUGAAUCAUCGAAUCUUUGAACGCACCUUGCGCCCUUUGGUAUUCCGAUGGGCAUGCCUGUUUGAGUGUCUUGAAAUCAUCAAACCCCCGGUUUUGCGAUCGUGGGGCUUGGACUUGGGGGUUCUGCUGCCGCGAGGCGGCUCCCCUUAAAUGCAUCGGUCGGGCCUACUGGGGCUCCGUCACCUGGGCGUUGUAUUACCCUCGCUCUUCCGACGUGCCUCAGCUUUGCGUGCCCGACCCCGACCUGCCUCUGGAGCGGCGGUCAACACUCUUUGAGAUCUGACCUCAAAUCAGGUAGGACUACCCGCUGAACUUAAGCAUAUCAAUAAGCGGAGGA